UACGUAGGGUGCAAGCGUUGUCCGGAAUUAUUGGGCGUAAAGAGCUUGUAGGCGGUUUGUCGCGUCUGCUGUGAAAUUUCGGGGCUUAACCCCGAGCCUGCAGUGGAUACGGGCAGACUAGAGGUAGGUAGGGGAGAAUGGAAUUCCCGGUGUAGCGGUGAAAUGCGCAGAUAUCGGGAGGAACACCGGUGGCGAAGGCGGUUCUCUGGGCCGAUACUGACGCUGAGGUGCGAGAGCGUGGGGAGCGAACCGG
Molecule: ribosomal RNA, 253 nt
Filed under: uncultured bacterium
Lineage: Bacteria
Description: partial 16S ribosomal RNA
Rfam family: Bacterial small subunit ribosomal RNA
Source: RNAcentral